Molecule: unclassified non-coding RNA, 141 nt
Filed under: uncultured fungus
Lineage: Eukaryota; Fungi
Description: sequence contains ITS1, 5.8S rRNA gene
Source: RNAcentral
CCGAGUGAAGGGGCGCAAGCCCCGACCUCCCACCCUUUGUUAAUCAAACCUCGUUGCUUCGGGGGUGACCUAUUCGCUUAGGGCCCCCGGAGGACCAUCAACUCUGCAUCAAUGCGUCGGAGUCAAAAUCGAAUAAAAUCA